Molecule: ribosomal RNA, 468 nt
Filed under: uncultured bacterium
Lineage: Bacteria
Description: partial 16S ribosomal RNA
Rfam family: Bacterial small subunit ribosomal RNA
Source: RNAcentral
GACGAACGCUGGCGGCGUGCUUAACACAUGCAAGUCGAACGGAAAGGCCCUGCUUUUGUGGGGUGCUCGAGUGGCGAACGGGUGAGUAACACGUGAGUAACCUGCCCUUGACUUUGGGAUAACUUCAGGAAACUGGGGCUAAUACCGGAUAGGAGCUCCUGCUGCAUGGUGGGGGUUGGAAAGUUUCGGCGGUUGGGGAUGGACUCGCGGCUUAUCAGCUUGUUGGUGGGGUAGUGGCUUACCAAGGCUUUGACGGGUAGCCGGCCUGAGAGGGUGACCGGCCACAUUGGGACUGAGAUACGGCUCAGACUCCUACGGGAGGCAGCAGUGGGGAAUAUUGCACAAUGGGCGGAAGCCUGAUGCAGCAACGCCGCGUGCGGGAUGACGGCCUUCGGGUUGUAAACCGCUUUCGCCUGUGACGAAGCGUGAGUGACGGUAAUGGGUAAAGAAGCACCAGCUAACUACGUG